This 435-nucleotide ribosomal RNA is filed under the name uncultured bacterium. Its description in RNAcentral is "bacterial SSU rRNA". It matches the Rfam family "Bacterial small subunit ribosomal RNA", at positions 43 to 524 of the family's 1533-position model. The record is from RNAcentral.
CAGGCCUAACACAUGCAAGUCGAGCGCACACUUCGGUGUGAGCGGCAGACGGGUGAGUAACACGUGGGAAUCUACCUUUUGCUACGGAACAACUCCGGGAAACUGGAGCUAAUACCGUAUGUGCCCUUUGGGGGAAAGAUUUAUCGGCAAGAGAUGAGCCCGCGUCGGAUUAGCUAGUUGGUGGGGUAAAGGCCUACCAAGGCGACGAUCCGUAGCUGGUCUGAGAGGAUGAUCAGCCACACUGGGACUGAGACACGGCCCAGACUCCUACGGGAGGCAGCAGUGGGGAAUAUUGGACAAUGGGGGCAACCCUGAUCCAGCCAUGCCGCGUGAGUGAUGAAGGCCCUAGGGUUGUAAAGCUCUUUCACCGGUGAAGAUAAUGACGGUAUCCGGAGAAGAAGCCCCGGCUAUCAUGGUGCCAGCAGCCGCGGUAAU